CAGCAGCCGCGGGAAUACGUAGGGUGCGAGCGUUAAUCGGAAUUACUGGGCGUAAAGGGCGCGUAGGCGGCGAUCAAAGUCAGGCGUGAAAUUCCUGGGCUCAACCUGGGGGCUGCGCUUGAUACUUGGUUGCUUGAGUGGGGAAGAGGGUCGUGGAAUUCCCAGUGUAGAGGUGAAAUUCGUAGAUAUUGGGAAGAACACCGGUGGCGAAGGCGGCGACCUGGUCCUUGACUGACGCUGAGGCGCGAAAGCGUGGGGAGCAAACAGGAUUAGAUACCCCCGUAGUCCCUGUCUCUUAUAC
Molecule: ribosomal RNA, 301 nt
Filed under: uncultured bacterium
Lineage: Bacteria
Description: partial 16S ribosomal RNA
Rfam family: Bacterial small subunit ribosomal RNA
Source: RNAcentral